CAAUAGCGUAUAUUAAAGUUGUUGCAGUUAAAAGCUCGUAGUUGGAUUUCUGGGCUGGCCGGACGGUCCACCUCACGGUGAGAACUGGCUGGUCGGCCCUUCCUCUCGAAGUGUUGCGGUGUUCUUAACUGAGUGCUGUGGCAAUUCGGGACCUUUACUUUGAAAAAUUAGAGUGCUCAAAGCAGGCUAUUACGCCUGAAUAUUCGUGCAUGGAAUAAUAGAAUAGGAAGUCGUUUCUAUUUUGUUGGUUUUCGGAAAUCGACUUAAUGAUUAAUAGGGACAGUCGGGGGCAUUUGUAUUCAAACGACAGAGGUGAAAUUCUUGGACCGUUUGAAGACAAACUACUGCGAAAGCAUUUGCCAAGAAUGUUUUCAUUAAUCAAGAACGAAAUGAUAAGGUUCGAAGACGAUUAGAUACC
This 418-nucleotide ribosomal RNA is filed under the name uncultured eukaryote. RNAcentral describes it as "bacterial SSU rRNA". It matches the Rfam family "Eukaryotic small subunit ribosomal RNA", at positions 592 to 1016 of the family's 1831-position model. The record is from RNAcentral.